Syngnathoides biaculeatus (alligator pipefish) is the source of this 112-nucleotide small nuclear RNA. RefSeq annotates it as U5 spliceosomal RNA. NCBI's taxonomy places the organism in Eukaryota, Metazoa, Chordata, Actinopteri, Syngnathiformes, Syngnathidae. The transcript has a single exon. The record is from RefSeq and is a predicted model, not a curated record.
GAACUCAUGUGUCUCUUCAAAUUGCAUAAAUUUUUCGCCUUUUAUUAAGGAUUUCCGUGGGGAGGAACAACAAGAGUCUAUCUCAAUUUUUUGAUGCUCUGCAAGCGGAGCU